Molecule: transfer RNA, 50 nt
Filed under: Cenchrus myosuroides
Lineage: Eukaryota; Viridiplantae; Streptophyta; Magnoliopsida; Poales; Poaceae
Description: partial tRNA-Leu
Source: RNAcentral
AAAAUCCGUCGACUUUAUAAGUCGUGAGGGUUCAAAUCCCUCUAUCCCCA